CGAACGAACCUUCGGGUUAGUGGCGGACGGGUGAGUAACGCGUGAGAAUCUGCCCUCAGGAGGGGGAUAACAGCUGGAAACGGCUGCUAAUACCCCAUAUGCCGCGAGGUGAAAUGAAUUUCGCCUGAGGAUGAGCUCGCGUCUGAUUAGCUAGUUGGUGUAGGUAAUGGCUCACCAAGGCAUCGAUCAGUAGCUGGUCUGAGAGGAUGAUCAGCCACACUGGGACUGAGACACGGCCCAGACUCCUACGGGAGGCAGCAGUGGGGAAUUUUCCGCAAUGGGCGAAAGCCUGACGGAGCAACGCCGCGUGAGGGAUGAAGGCCUCUGGGCUGUAAACCUCUUUUAUCAAGGAAGAAGAUCUGACGGUACUUGAUGAAUAAGCCACGG
Molecule: ribosomal RNA, 387 nt
Filed under: uncultured bacterium
Lineage: Bacteria
Description: bacterial SSU rRNA
Rfam family: Bacterial small subunit ribosomal RNA
Source: RNAcentral